RNAcentral lists this microRNA (24 nucleotides) under Amborella trichopoda. RNAcentral's name for it is "atr-miR8565h". Lineage: Eukaryota; Viridiplantae; Streptophyta; Magnoliopsida; Amborellales; Amborellaceae. The record is from miRBase by way of RNAcentral.
AUUAAAUUUGGCAUAGAUCUUUAG